Molecule: ribosomal RNA, 825 nt
Filed under: uncultured bacterium
Lineage: Bacteria
Description: bacterial SSU rRNA
Rfam family: Bacterial small subunit ribosomal RNA
Source: RNAcentral
CAGUCGAGCGAAGCGAUUUAAAUGAGACUUCGGUGGAUUUUAAAUUGACUGAGCGGCUGACGGGUGAGUAACGCGUGGAUAACCUGCCUCACACAGGGGGAUAACAGUUAGAAAUGACUGCUAAUACCGCAUAAGCGCACGGUACCGCAUGGUACAGUGUGAAAAACUCCGGUGGUGUGAGAUGGAUCCGCGUCUGAUUAGGUAGUUGGUGAGGUAACGGCCCACCAAGCCGACGAUCAGUAGCCGACCUGAGAGGGUGAUCGGCCACAUUGGGACUGAGACACGGCCCAAACUCCUACGGGAGGCAGCAGUGGGGAAUAUUGCACAAUGGGCGAAAGCCUGAUGCAGCAACGCCGCGUGAGUGAAGAAGUAUCUCGGUAUGUAAAGCUCUAUCAGCAGGGAAGAAAAUGACGGUACCUGACUAAGAAGCCCCGGCUAACUACGCGCCAGCAGCCGCGGUAAUACGUAGGGGGCAAGCGUUAUCCGGAUUUACUGGGUGUAAAGGGAGCGCAGACGGCACUGCAAGUCUGAAGUGAAAGCCCGGGGCUCAACCCCGGGACUGCUUUGGAAACUGUAGAGCUAGAGUGCUGGAGAGGCAAGCGGAAUUCCUAGUGUAGCGGUGAAAUGCGUAGAUAUUAGGAAGAACACCAGUGGCGAAGGCGGCUUGCUGGACAGUAACUGACGUUCAGGCUCGAAAGCGUGGGGAGCAAACAGGAUUAGAUACCCUGGUAGUCCACGCUGUAAACGAUGAAUACUAGGUGUUGGUGGGCAAAGCCCAUCGGUGCCGCCGCAAACGCAAUAAGUAUUCCACCUGGGGAGUACGUU